UUGGAGGGCAAGUCUGGUGCCAGCAGCCGCGGUAAUUCCAGCUCCAAUAGCGUAUAUUAAAGUUGUUGCAGUUAAAAAGCUCGUAGUUGAAUUUCGGGAUCAGAUUGUCGGUCGUGCCUCGGUACGCACUGGCAUUAUUGGUUCCUACCUUCUGAAGAACCGCGAUGUCAUUAAUUUGGUGUCGUGGGGAAUCAGGACUGUUACUUUGAAAAAAUUAGAGUGUUUAAAGCAGGCUUACGCUUGAAUACAUUAGCAUGGAAUAAUGAAAUAGGACGUUUGAUUCUAUUUUGUUGGUUUCUAGGAUUGACGUAAUGAUUAAUAGGGAUAGUUGGGGGCAUUAGUAUUCAAUUGUCAGAGGUGAAAUUCUUGGAUUUAUUGAAGACUAACUACUGCGAAAGCAUUUGCCAAGGAUGUUUUCAUUAAUCAAGAACGAAAGUUAGGGGAUCGAAGACGAUCAGAUACCGUCGUAGUCUUAACCAUAAACUAUGCCGACUAGGGAUCGGAUGAUGUUAAUUUUUUAAUGACUCAUUCGGCGCCUUACGGGAAAC
RNAcentral lists this ribosomal RNA (548 nucleotides) under uncultured Glomeromycotina. RNAcentral describes it as "SSU rRNA". It matches the Rfam family "Eukaryotic small subunit ribosomal RNA", at positions 548 to 1098 of the family's 1831-position model. Lineage: Eukaryota; Fungi; Glomeromycota. The record is from RNAcentral.